UGCAUUUUACCCUUAGAAAAGGGGUUUACGGCCCAAGAGGGUUCUUGGCCGUAAACUCCUACUAACUUGUGGUUUUGAUGGGUUUUUGAUGUUCUAAAUAAGCACAAGUAUUAGUGGGUAAAGUCCUUAAGCAUUUGGGGGAAGUUUAGGGCACAUUAAGCCCUUGUAAAGGGGUUUACGGCCCAAGGGAGUUCCUUGGCCGUAAACUCCAAGAACUUGUGCUUCUUGGAUGUUUUCUAGGCUACAAAGAUCAUACACUAGGUCCUUGAUAAGUCCUCUAACAUGGGAAUGGGUCUAGAAAGCAUUAAAGUUCCAUUUUGGAGUUUACUCCCCAAGAACGUUCUUGGGCGGUAAACUCCCGGAUCUUGUAAUCUAAACAUGUUAUGGAUGUUAAUAAGCAUCUAACAAGUAUUGAAACACUUUUAGUAAAGUAGACUCACAAUAUGGGAUGAAAACCCGAAGAUCCGUCAGAGAGAAUAUGGCUUUUCUCUAUUUGGAAUUGUGAAUAAUGAAUUAAAUAAAUUCAGAAAACUAUUUGUAGUCCUGAAAUAUUUUGACAGAAAAUAUUUUUAUUCUGGAACUUAGACUGUAACAUUAUGAAACUUGAAAUGACCAAAUUUCACAAUCUCAGGAGCAUCCACUCUCCUGAUAUCUCCUAAAGUGUAAACCCUAAGGUACACUAACUUGUUCGGAAAAGUCUGAAAAUCACUGAAAUUGAACUGACUUCUAUUGAAUAGAUAUUGUUCGUACAAAUGGAAAUUUCGGGUUGUCACAGAUCGGCCAUGGUCAAGUUGUUUGACCUAAUGGUAAAGAGAAAUGUUAAGUUUGUGAUAGUCCCGUAUACCAUUUUCAAAGAAUCCAUAUGUUUCCUUUUGCCAAUAGAAAGGGGCAUUGGUUGCAAAGCUGCCGAAUUUACCUGAAACCUCAUAAGGAUGGUAAAGUCAAAAGUUUGACUCUACUUCUGGUAAAGUCUGUGAUCUAACUCUAUUAAGUCUCUUUUGGAUAUUCUUAAUACAUGAUGUAAUGUAAUUACAUUUUGAUGUUUUUGAAGAAUCAAAGGAAGCUUAAAGAAAUGGUGUGCUGAUUUUGAUCGCAUGGUGCGAUGACCAGAAUUUUGAGCCACUGCAUAAGAGUUAUGAGAUAUUGCUUAGGAAUAGAUUACAACAAAGUUUUCAUAUGAAUUUGCAUUGUAAGGAUAAGUUUUUCCGCAAAGUUUUUAAAAUAAAAGGAAAUUUUUGUUUUAUUUAUUUUAAGUGUCCUUACAAUGGUAUUUGUGAAAAAUUGUUGCUUAUAUGUUUCCAUUGAUAAGCAAUAUUGGAAAAUGAAUUUGAUUCUUUCAUUUGUGGUAGUGUCAUAAUUUAUCAAAUAAAAAAAGAUUCUCAUCACCCAAGUUUCAAUUGGACAGAAACUUGAAAUCAUGCAAGUUGUAUUGUGUGAUGAAUGAGAUUUUUAUCUUUGGUAAAUUAUGACUAAUUCCUUGUUCACAUUCGCAUGUGAGUCAAGCGAAGGACUAAAGGAUCGGGUAUAUUAGGUUGUUCAAUAGUCAAGUCCACCACCAAGGUUGAUAAGAUUAUUCGUUAUGAUUUACUAAAGUUUAGUAAAUAUGAUUAUGCUUACAAGUUAAAGUGUAAUUCUGAAACAUUAGAAGAAUCAAAUAAGGCAGAAAGAUAAAAGUUUCUCCAAUCUGAAGAGAUGGAAGAGUACUUGUGUAUCUUGUUUUAUGAUUAUCUUAGUGAUUAUGGAACCAUAUCACAAUUGUGUUGGAUUAGUGUCUAAGUCCAUAACUAUUUUGGUACGUACUUGACCCGAUGGUGCAUGGUCCUUUUGGGUUGCCUUCACCAAAGCAACUUGAUUGGAGAAAUAAAUAGAGAGAGGUUAUUAUGAUCUAUUAAUAUGUUAUAAGAAUAAUAUAUUAAAGGAGAAAUCAUAUUUGUUUAAUUAAUAUUGGUCAAUAAUUAAUUAAGAAUUAAUUUUGUGAUCAAGUGUAAUUAAUUAAACUAGAGGGGCUGAAUUGUAAUUAUGUGAUAGUUACAAAAUAUGGUAAUGGUUAUCCUAAAUAUGGGUUGAACGAAUUCAAGGAGAUAAGGAUCCUUGAAAUCGUCCAAAGGAUAAAGGAUAAGGGUUUUCAAGGCUUAUCUUAUGGUUACUUGGUGGGCAAGCAACUAGAUAAGGAUAAGGACUAAAACCCUAAU
This 2192-nucleotide long non-coding RNA is filed under the name Lactuca sativa (garden lettuce). Its description in RNAcentral is "long non-coding RNA (LSAT_LNC006561)". The record is from RNAcentral. Lineage: Eukaryota; Viridiplantae; Streptophyta; Magnoliopsida; Asterales; Asteraceae.